Molecule: long non-coding RNA, 159 nt
Organism: Procambarus clarkii (red swamp crayfish)
Lineage: Eukaryota; Metazoa; Arthropoda; Malacostraca; Decapoda; Cambaridae
Source: RefSeq, a predicted model, not a curated record
GGCCUGGAGACUCCGAGGUGUGUGGACGUGUCGCUCCCGCUGGUCAGAGAUGAGGAUGAUGUGGUCGUGUGUGACGCUGGUGGUGGUGGCCGCCCUGGUGGGGACGUCCUCGGGAAAGGUGUACACAAAGUGUGAACUGGCCAAAGUGCUGACCAAUAC